GACGAACGCUGGCGGCGUGCUUAACACAUGCAAGUCGAACGCUGAAGACCUGGCUUUUGUUGGGUUGGAUGAGUGGCGAACGGGUGAGUAACACGUGAGUAACCUGCCCUCUUCUUUGGGAUAACGCCCGGAAACGGGUGCUAAUACUGGAUAUUCACUGAUCUUCGCAUGGGGGUUGGUGGAAAGGUUUGUUCUGGUGGGGGAUGGGCUCGCGGCCUAUCAGCUUGUUGGUGGGGUGAUGGCCUACCAAGGCUUUGACGGGUAGCCGGCCUGAGAGGGUGACCGGUCACAGUGGGACUGAGAUACGGCCCAGACUCCUACGGGAGGCAGCAGUGGGGAAUAUUGCACAAUGGGCGAAAGCCUGAUGCAGCGACGCCGCGUGAGGGAUGGAGGCCUUCGGGUUGUAAACCUCUUUCGCUCAUGGUCAAGCCGCAACUGUGGGUUGUGGUGAGGGUAGUGGGUAAAGAAGCGCCGGCUAACUACGUG
Molecule: ribosomal RNA, 486 nt
Filed under: uncultured bacterium
Lineage: Bacteria
Description: partial 16S ribosomal RNA
Rfam family: Bacterial small subunit ribosomal RNA
Source: RNAcentral